This is a non-coding RNA of Parelaphostrongylus tenuis, 75 nucleotides long. NCBI's taxonomy places the organism in Eukaryota, Metazoa, Nematoda, Chromadorea, Rhabditida, Metastrongylidae. The record is from the annotation of a GenBank genome assembly.
GCCUCGGUAGUGUAGUGGUAGCACGAGCCUCCGUUAUGGGUGAAACGCUGGUUCAAAUCCCGUUUCAGUUUUGCU